AUGCGGAGGGUGCAAGCGUUACUCGGAAUCACUGGGCGUAAAGCGCGCGCAGGCGGGCUGAUAAGUUGGAUGUGAAAGCCUACGGCUCAACCGUAGAACUGCAUCCAAAACUGUCAGUCUAGAGUCUGGGAGGGGAAGAUGGAAUUAGUUGUGUAGGGGUAAAAUCCGUAGAGAUAACUAGGAAUACCAAAAGCGAAGGCGAUCUUCUGGAACAGUACUGACGCUGAGGCGCGAAAGCGUGGGGAGCAAACAGGAUUAGAAACCCUUGUAGUCC
Molecule: ribosomal RNA, 274 nt
Filed under: uncultured bacterium
Lineage: Bacteria
Description: partial 16S ribosomal RNA
Rfam family: Bacterial small subunit ribosomal RNA
Source: RNAcentral